RNAcentral lists this ribosomal RNA (1263 nucleotides) under Triticum aestivum (bread wheat). RNAcentral's name for it is "partial small subunit ribosomal RNA". The record is from RNAcentral. Lineage: Eukaryota; Viridiplantae; Streptophyta; Magnoliopsida; Poales; Poaceae.
AUGACUUUGGUGAGAACAAUGACAAAUGGAUUGUGGCUGCACCAGGUGGCAGAGACAAAAAAAGUUAUUAUCCUUUCGAACAAAGCUGAGUGCAUCUCCUUGAUGUUCAACAGGAUUCCUAUUAGGUUCAAUCUUGAUCCCAUAAAACUGAGGAUCUUGUGCCUUCGGAACAACAAAUUGGAUGAAAGCAUAAUUGUUGAAGCAAUUAAGAAUUGCAGUUCACCGACAUAUCUGGAUUUGAGCGGAAACAACGUCAAGAGGAUACCGGAAGAAUUAUGUUCCUUGGUAAAGCUGGAAUACCUUGAUUUGUCACGAAAUGAAUUUGGGGCAACUGAAGUGCCUCGCUCCUUUGGAAAGCUCAUCAACCUCAAGUUCUUGUACCUAUGGUCUGCUGGUGGUUACGUGAGAAUACCAGCUGGUGUCGUGUCUAGCCUUAAAGCAUUGCAGGUAACAGACUUGAGGAGUUUCUUAAGAGAAUCUACCCUAUCCCUACCUGAGUCAAUAUUCCGAGAGUUGGGCACCCUACCUCAGUUGAAAGCGCUUGGUAUUGUGGUCGAAGGUUCUGCUCAGCUUGAGUCACUAGGAGAAGCGAACCUCCCUGUUAGAUAUUUGGCUCUGCUGGACGUAGGUACAUUCAAUGAUAUUUUAUCAACCGACUUUGCACAAAGGACCUUGUAUGAACUGGAUAUCAGUGAAGAAAUUGACACUCGAGAAAUAACAGUAAGACAUGAUACGGAACAACCAAACAACUGUUUUGGUGCUCUCAACAACCUCAGCUUAACUAUGAUGAGAUCCUUGAGAGAGAUGAAGUGGAUGGGAGCAACUCCAGCAUUUAUAUUCCCAAGGCUCAUUCAUUUGGAAUUGUUUUACUGCAGACGGCUAUUGCACCUCUCUUGGGUUAUGUAUUUGCCUCGCCUUGAACAACUUCAUAUAGUUUCCUGUUCUGGUAUAGUGCAAGCAUUUAUGAGGUGCCAUGGUGACAAAUUGUGCAAUGGACAGGACAAGACAAAAACAUUUCGUUGCCUCAAGAGUCUCAGUCUUACUCGUAACUACUCGUUGGAAACUAUUGGGGACAAGGGUAUGGAAUUCCCAUCCCUAGAGCGACUUGUGAUUGACAAUUGUCCAAAAUUGGAGAGGCUUCCUUUCCAGCUGGACAGUUUGCCACUAAAGCUGAAGGAGCUACGGUUUGUUGGGACACAGCAAUCAAAGAGUCUUCCUUUCCAGCUGGACAGUUGGCUACGGUUUGAUGAUGCUCAGUGCUAG